CCUACGGGGUGCAGCAGUGGGGAAUAUUGCACAAUGGGCGCGAGCCUGAACCAGCCAAGUAGCGUGAAGGAUGACUGCCCUACGGGUUGUAAACUUCUUUUAUAAAGGAAUAAAGUGAGGCACGUGUGCCUUUUUGUAUGUACUUUAUGAAUAAGGAUCGGCUAACUCCGUGCCAGCAGCCGCGGUAAUACGGAGGAUCCGAGCGUUAUCCGGAUUUAUUGGGUUUAAAGGGAGCGUAGAUGGGUUGUUAAGUCAGUUGUGAAAGUUUGCGGCUCAACCGUAAAAUUGCAAUUGAUACUGGCAGCCUUGAGUACAGUUGAGGUAGGCGGAAUUCGUGGUGUAGCGGUGAAAUGCUUAGAUAUCACGAAGAACUCCGAUUGCGAAGGCAGCUUACUAAACUGCCACUGACAUUGAUGCUCGAAAGUGUGGGUAUAAAACAGGAUUAGAUACCCCAGUAGUC
Molecule: ribosomal RNA, 460 nt
Filed under: uncultured bacterium
Lineage: Bacteria
Description: partial 16S ribosomal RNA
Rfam family: Bacterial small subunit ribosomal RNA
Source: RNAcentral